RNAcentral lists this ribosomal RNA (392 nucleotides) under uncultured bacterium. RNAcentral describes it as "partial 16S ribosomal RNA". It matches the Rfam family "Bacterial small subunit ribosomal RNA", at positions 523 to 918 of the family's 1533-position model. The record is from RNAcentral.
AUACGGAGGAUCCGAGCGUUAUCCGGAUUUAUUGGGGUUAAAGGGUGCGCAGGCGGCCAUUUAAGUCAGCGGUUAAAUCGUGGGGCUCAACCCCAUUCUGCCGUUGAUACUGGGUGGCUUGAUUGCGGUCGAGGUUGGCGGAAUUCGUUGUGUAGCGGGGAAAUGCAUAGAUAUGACGAAGAACACCGAUUGCGUAGGCAGCUGACCAGAUCGCAAAUGACGCUCAUGCACGAAAGUGCGGGGAUCGAACAGGAUUAGAUACCCUGGUAGUCCGCACAGUAAACGAUGAAUACUUGUUUUCGGCGAUAUAAUGUCGGAGGCAAAGCGAAAGCGUUAAGUGAUCCACCUGGGGAGUACGCCGGCAACGGUGAAACUCAAAUGAAUUGGCGGGG